This 29-nucleotide non-coding RNA is filed under the name Homo sapiens (human). Lineage: Eukaryota; Metazoa; Chordata; Mammalia; Primates; Hominidae. The record is from RNAcentral.
UGGGUNCAGGACAGUGGGUACAGUGCACU